UCAGRGUCCGAGUUGUAAUUUGCAGAGGGCGCUUUGGYGUUGGCAGCGGUCCAAGUUCCUUGGAACAGGACGUCACAGAGGGUGAGAAUCCCGUACGUGGUCGCURGCCUUCGCCGUGUAAAGCCCCUUCGACGAGUCGAGUUGUUUGGGAAUGCAGCUCUAAAUGGGAGGUAAAUUUCUUCUAAAGCUAAAUACUGGCCAGAGACCGAUAGCGCACAAGUAGAGUGAUCGAAAGAUGAAAAGCACUUUGGAAAGAGAGUCAAAUAGCACGUGAAAUUGUUGAAAGGGAAGCGCUUGCAGCCAGACUUGCCUGUAGUUGCUYAUCCGGRCUUUUGYCCGGUGCACUCUUCUGCGGGCAGGCCAGCAUCAGUUUGGGCGGUUGGAUAAAGGUCUCUGUCAUGUACCUCYYYUCGGGGAGRMCUUAUAGGGGAGACGACAUGCAACCAGCCUGGACUGAGGUCCGCGCAUYUGCUAGGAUGCUGGCGUAAUGGCUGUAAGCGGCCCGUCUUGAAACACGGACCAAGGAGUCUAACAUCUAUGCGAGUGUUUGGGUGUCAAGCCCRRRCGCGYAAUGAAAGUGAACGGAGGUGGGAACCCUUNWGGGUGCACCAUCGACCGAUCCUGAUGUCUUCGGAUGGAUUUGAGUAAGAGCAUGGCUGUUGGGACCCGAAAGAUGGUGAACUAUGCUUGAAUAGGGUGAAGCCAGAGGAAACUCUGGUGGAGGCUCGCAGCGGU
RNAcentral lists this ribosomal RNA (735 nucleotides) under Paraphoma sp. Its description in RNAcentral is "partial 28S ribosomal RNA". It matches the Rfam family "Eukaryotic large subunit ribosomal RNA", at positions 131 to 884 of the family's 3401-position model. The record is from RNAcentral. Lineage: Eukaryota; Fungi; Ascomycota; Dothideomycetes; Pleosporales; Phaeosphaeriaceae.